CUUUGAUAUUUCAUGUACAGUAUAUAAUAUGUAUUUGGUGUACUUUGAUAUUUUAUGUACAGUAUAUAAUAUAUAAUAUGUGUGAUUUGAUAUUUUAUGUUCAGUAUAUAAUAUAUAUUCGGUGUACUUUGAUAUUUUAUGUACAGUAUAUAAUAUAUACUUCGUGUAAGUUGAUAUUUUAUGUGCAGUAUAUAUGUUUUGCAUACUUUGAUAUUUUAUGUACAGUGUAUAAUAUGUAUUUUGUGUACUUUGAUAUUUUAUGUACAGUAUAUAAUAUGUAUUUGGUGCACAUUGAUAUUUUAUGUACAGUAUAUAACAUGUAAUUUGUGUACUUUGAUAUUUUAUGAACAGUAUAUAAUAUGUAUUUGGUGUACUUUGAUAUUUUAUGUACAGUAUAUAAUAUGUAUUUGGUGUACUUUGAUAUUUUAUGUACAGUAUAUAAUAUAUAUUUUGUGUACUUUGGUAUUUUAAGUACAGUGUAUAAUAUAUAUUAUGUAUACUUUGAUAUUAUAUGUACAGCAUAUAAUAUAUAUUUUGUGUACUUUGAUAUAUUAUGUAUAGUAUAUAAUAUGUAUUAAGUGUACUUUGAUAUCUUAUGUACAGUAUAUAAUACGUAUUUGGUGUACUUUGAUAAUUGAUGUACAGUAUAUAGUAUGUAUUUGGUGUACUAUUUGAUAUUUUAUGUACAGUAUAUAAUAUGUAUUUGCUGUAGUUUGAUGUUUUAUGUACAUUAUAUAAUAUGUAUUUGGUGAACUUUGAUAUUUUAUGUACUGUAUAUCAUAUGUAUUUUUUGUACUUUGAUUUUUUAUGUACAGUAUAUCAUAUGUAUUUUGGGUACUUUGAUAUUUUGUGUACAGCAUAUAAUAUGUAUUUGGUGUAAUUUUUGAUAUUUUAUUUACAGUAUAUAAUAUGUAUUUGCUGUAGUUUUUGAUAUUUUAUGUACAGUAUAUAAUAUGUAUUUGGUGU
Molecule: long non-coding RNA, 966 nt
Filed under: Homo sapiens (human)
Lineage: Eukaryota; Metazoa; Chordata; Mammalia; Primates; Hominidae
Description: HSALNT0346422
Source: RNAcentral